This 579-nucleotide ribosomal RNA is filed under the name Trichoderma harzianum. RNAcentral's name for it is "eukaryotic LSU rRNA". The stretch from base 201 to 354 matches the Rfam family "5.8S ribosomal RNA". Lineage: Eukaryota; Fungi; Ascomycota; Sordariomycetes; Hypocreales; Hypocreaceae. The record is from RNAcentral.
CCGAGUUUACAACUCCCAAACCCAAUGUGAACGUUACCAAACUGUUGCCUCGGCGGGAUCUCUGCCCCGGGUGCGUCGCAGCCCCGGACCAAGGCGCCCGCCGGAGGACCAACCAAAACUCUUUUUGUAUACCCCCUCGCGGGUUUUUUAUAAUCUGAGCCUUCUCGGCGCCUCUCGUAGGCGUUUCGAAAAUGAAUCAAAACUUUCAACAACGGAUCUCUUGGUUCUGGCAUCGAUGAAGAACGCAGCGAAAUGCGAUAAGUAAUGUGAAUUGCAGAAUUCAGUGAAUCAUCGAAUCUUUGAACGCACAUUGCGCCCGCCAGUAUUCUGGCGGGCAUGCCUGUCCGAGCGUCAUUUCAACCCUCGAACCCCUCCGGGGGGUCGGCGUUGGGGAUCGGCCCUGCCUCUUGGCGGUGGCCGUCUCCGAAAUACAGUGGCGGUCUCGCCGCAGCCUCUCCUGCGCAGUAGUUUGCACACUCGCAUCGGGAGCGCGGCGCGUCCACAGCCGUUAAACACCCAACUUCUGAAAUGUUGACCUCGGAUCAGGUAGGAAUACCCGCUGAACUUAAGCAUAUCAAA